Molecule: small nuclear RNA, 108 nt
Organism: Lepisosteus oculatus (spotted gar)
Lineage: Eukaryota; Metazoa; Chordata; Actinopteri; Semionotiformes; Lepisosteidae
Source: Ensembl
GUAUUUUACCUUGGCAGCACAUACACUUAAACUGGAAUGAAACAGAAAAGAUUAGCAUGGCCCAUGUGCAAGGAAGAUAUACAGAUUUGAGAAGCAUCCCAUACUGUA